RNAcentral lists this ribosomal RNA (462 nucleotides) under uncultured bacterium. RNAcentral describes it as "partial 16S ribosomal RNA". It matches the Rfam family "Bacterial small subunit ribosomal RNA", at positions 28 to 507 of the family's 1533-position model. The record is from RNAcentral.
GACGAACGCUGGCGGCGUGCUUAACACAUGCAAGUCGAGCGGAAAGGCCCUUCGGGGUACUCGAGCGGCGAACGGGUGAGUAACACGUGAGUAACCUGCCCCAGACUUUGGGAUAACCCUCGGAAACGGGGGCUAAUACCGGAUACGACACAGCUUCGCAUGGGGUCUGUGUGGAAAGUUUUUCGGUUUGGGAUGGGCUCGCGGCCUAUCAGCUUGUUGGUGGGGUGAUGGCCUACCAAGGCGACGACGGGUAGCCGGCCUGAGAGGGCGACCGGCCACACUGGGACUGAGACACGGCCCAGACUCCUACGGGAGGCAGCAGUGGGGAAUAUUGCACAAUGGGCGGAAGCCUGAUGCAGCGACGCCGCGUGAGGGAUGACGGCCUUCGGGUUGUAAACCUCUCUCAGCAGGGACGAAGCGUAAGUGACGGUACCUGCAGAAGAAGCGCCGGCCAACUACGUG